RNAcentral lists this unclassified non-coding RNA (242 nucleotides) under Hevea brasiliensis (rubber tree). The record is from RNAcentral. Lineage: Eukaryota; Viridiplantae; Streptophyta; Magnoliopsida; Malpighiales; Euphorbiaceae.
UUUUGCAAUAUAUUUUAAGUCCACAUUUCCCUCUAAUUAUUCAAGCAUUGGAACAUUUUUCCUGCUUAGUGCUUACCAUAAAAGAUUUUCUUGUUAAGAAAAAUUACAUUUCUGCUCUGAGAAAUCAACAUUCUCUUCCAUGGUUGAAGAAGUUAAAAAUGAUUACUCACCUUUUCUAUGGCCAUAUUUUUCUGUCUAACAACCAUUCUGCUUCAACAGGCAUGGCAGCUUCAUGAAGAGGG